AUUGAACGCUGGCGGCAUGCUUUACACAUGCAAGUCGAACGGCAGCACGGGGGCAGCCCUGGUGGCGUGUGGCGAACGGGUGUGUAAUACAUCGGAACGUGCCCGCUCGUGGGGGAUAACGUAGCGUAAGUUACGCUCAUACCGCAUACGAUCUGAUGAUGAAAGCGGGGGACCUUCGGUCCUCGCGCGUUCGCCGCGUCCGAUGUCCGAUUAGGUAGUUGGUGGGGUAAAGGCCUACCAAGCCGACGAUCUGUAGCUGGUAUGAGAGGAAGACCACCCAAACGGGGAGUGAGACACGGACCAGAGUCCUACGGGAGGGAGCAGUGGGGAAUGUUGGACAAUGGGAGGAAGGCUGAUACAGCAAUGCCGCGUGCAGGACGAAGGCCUUCGGGUUGUAAAAUGCUUUUGUACGGAACGAAAAGGAUCUGGAUAAUAAAAGGGGAUCAUGACGGUAACGUAAGAAUAAGCACCGGCUAACUACGUG
This 484-nucleotide ribosomal RNA is filed under the name uncultured bacterium. Its description in RNAcentral is "partial 16S ribosomal RNA". It matches the Rfam family "Bacterial small subunit ribosomal RNA", at positions 30 to 507 of the family's 1533-position model. The record is from RNAcentral.